RNAcentral lists this ribosomal RNA (301 nucleotides) under uncultured bacterium. Its description in RNAcentral is "partial 16S ribosomal RNA". It matches the Rfam family "Bacterial small subunit ribosomal RNA", at positions 509 to 807 of the family's 1533-position model. The record is from RNAcentral.
CAGCAGCCGCGGUAAUACGAAGGGGGCUAGCGUUGUUCGGAAUCACUGGGCGUAAAGCGCACGUAGGCGGACUUUUAAGUCAGGGGUGAAAUCCCAAGGCUCAACCUUGGAACUGCCUUUGAUACUGGAAGUCUUGAGUUCGGGAGAGGUGUGUGGAACUGCGAGUGUAGAGGUGAAAUUCGUAGAUAUUCGCAAGAACACCAGUGGCGAAGGCGGCUCACUGGCCCGAUACUGACGCUGAGGUGCGAAAGCGUGGGGAGCAAACAGGAUUAGAUACCCGAGUAGUCCCUGUCUCUUAUAC